CCUACGGGAGGCAGCAGUGGGGAAUAUUGGACAAUGGGCGAAAGCCUGAUCCAGCAAUGCCGCGUGAGUGAUGAAGGCCUUAGGGUUGUAAAGCUCUUUUACCAGGGAUGAUAAUGACAGUACCUGGAGAAUAAGCUCCGGCUAACUCCGUGCCAGCAGCCGCGGUAAUACGGAGGGAGCUAGCGUUGUUCGGAAUUACUGGGCGUAAAGCGUACGUAGGCGGUUAUUCAAGUCAGAGGUGAAAGCCUGGAGCUCAACUCCAGAACUGCCUUUGAAACUAGAUAACUAGAAUCACGGAGAGGUGAGUGGAAUUCCGAGUGUAGAGGUGAAAUUCGUAGAUAUUCGGAAGAACACCAGUGGCGAAGGCGGCUCACUGGACGUGUAUUGACGCUGAGGUACGAAAGCGUGGGGAACAAACAGGAUUAGAUACCCUGGUAGUCCACGCCGUAAACGAUGAUAACUAGCUGCCAGGGCUCUUAGAGCUUUGGCGGCGCAGCUAACGCAUUAAGUUAUCCGCCUGGGGAGUACGGUCGCAAGAUUAAAACUCAAAGGAAUUGACGGCNGAGAGNGCGAGACGACGACGAGGGAGAG
RNAcentral lists this ribosomal RNA (591 nucleotides) under uncultured bacterium. Its description in RNAcentral is "bacterial SSU rRNA". It matches the Rfam family "Bacterial small subunit ribosomal RNA", at positions 338 to 946 of the family's 1533-position model. The record is from RNAcentral.